Small nucleolar RNA from Cajanus cajan (pigeon pea), 85 nucleotides. It matches the Rfam family "Small nucleolar RNA R44/J54/Z268 family". From Rfam's summary of the family: R44, J54 and Z268 are members of the C/D class of snoRNA which contain the C (UGAUGA) and D (CUGA) box motifs. Most of the members of the box C/D family function in directing site-specific 2'-O-methylation of substrate RNAs. NCBI's taxonomy places the organism in Eukaryota, Viridiplantae, Streptophyta, Magnoliopsida, Fabales, Fabaceae. The record is from Rfam.
UGUGCAAGUGACGAUAAAUUAGACAGGGACAUCAGCACUUAUCUAAAGGAUGAUGAUUUGUCUUUGGGAAUCUCUCUGAUGCAUA